Molecule: ribosomal RNA, 253 nt
Filed under: uncultured bacterium
Lineage: Bacteria
Description: partial 16S ribosomal RNA
Rfam family: Bacterial small subunit ribosomal RNA
Source: RNAcentral
GACAGAGGUGCCAAGCGUUAGGCGGAAUCACUGGGCUUAAAGCGUGUGUAGGCGGCUCGUUUAGUACCUUGUGAAAUCCCACGGCUCAACCGUGGAACUGCUCGGUAUACUGGCGGGCUUGAGCCAUCUAGGGGCUACCGGAACAAAUGGUGGAGCGGUGAAAUGCGUAGAUAUCGGGAGGAACACCAGUGGCGAAGGCGGCUACCUGGCACAUAACUGACGCUGAUACGCGAAAGCGUGGGGAGCGAACCGG